AUGGGGGCAAGGGUAAGACAGAGGCUCAUGGGAGCAAACCACCCCCCGCCAGGAAGAGCCACGAGUAGCAAGAACUACGACACCACCACAGGGGUACCGCGGGGCUGGGGCGCCCUCUCGCCCCCCUCCCCUGGAGGGCCAGAGGCACACAACCGGAAUGUGCUGGGGCUCUGGACGAGCUAUCGAUCCAGAUCAAGGGCACUGCGAGCUGGUGUAUGUGUUGGGGGCAGGGGGGUGGUGGGAAUCCAGACUAAUGGGAACAAGGACACAGGGAACAGGCCUGCUGCGGCUAUAACUUGGGCUCUGUUCUGCCACGGUGCAGAGCAGCACCGCCUGCCACAUGACAGUCAACAGGCCUGGUCCUCUCUGGAAGAAAGCCCUCAGAGGGGAGCCCGGCUGGAUCCCUGUGAGGGAAGGCGCUCAGAGAAGGGCACUAAGGACCGAGGACCAUGGGCUGCUUCCUGGCAGAGGGGAGUCGCCCUUCAUCUCCUCAAGUCUUCGUUUCAGUUUUGCCAGGCAGGGGAGACCAUAAAUCUUCUCUGGAGCCCACGCUGGAGUCCGCCAGGGAGACAGGCCGCUCAUCUCUUCCGGACAUCCAAGGGUGACUCUACGGACGCCUGGAAGACAUGGGGAGAAGGGGAGGAGGGACGCGAUGAUGGAAAGAAGCGGCCAAGCAUGCUGGACGUUUCCCAUGGCUUCCUCUCUGUAACACCUAAGAGCAGGAGGACUCCAGGAUGCCGUCGGCUGAAAGGCCCCCGGCAGUCUGGCGAGGUGGUCGGGAGGGGUAGGGGUUCGGUUCGAAAGGUAAAGCAGGAUGUACAAGCCCCCACCCCCUUCCCCGGAAAGCCUCAGGGCAGUGGGAAGGAGGCUGAGCAGAGCAGGUGGCCGGGCUGGCCCUCAGCACCGUGGGCGCGACAUCAGGGGGGGGAAGCUGUGUGGGAGCCCUUGGAAAGGAGAGGUGCCCGGACGUGGAGCCCUGCCCAACAGGCUUCCUGGUCGAGGCCACCGUGA
Molecule: long non-coding RNA, 1011 nt
Filed under: Suricata suricatta (meerkat)
Lineage: Eukaryota; Metazoa; Chordata; Mammalia; Carnivora; Herpestidae
Description: lncRNA (ENSSSUG00005005586.1)
Source: RNAcentral